AAAACACAAACACUGGUUAACAACAACAGGCUUGGUCGGUAGGUAGCUAAAACACAAACACUGGUAAACAACAACGGGCUUGGUAGGUAGCUAAAACACAAACACUGGUAAACAACAACAGGCUUGGUCGGUAGGUAGCUAAAACACAAACACUGGUAAACAACAACAGGCUUGUUAGGUAGCUAAAACACAAACACUGGUUAACAACAACAGGCUUGUUAGGUAGGUAGCUAAAACACAAACACUGGUAAACAACAACAGGCUUGUUAGGUAGCUAAAACACAAACACUGGUAAACAACAACAGGCUUGUUAGGUAGCUAAAACACAAACACUGGUUAACAACAACGGGCUUGUUAG
Long non-coding RNA from Oncorhynchus tshawytscha (Chinook salmon), 358 nucleotides. The record is from Ensembl. Lineage: Eukaryota; Metazoa; Chordata; Actinopteri; Salmoniformes; Salmonidae.